GGAAGAAGAGGGAUGUCUUCUGGGAUGUGAGAGGUCUACUGCGAGACACACGCACAGAAAGAAGAAUAGGGAAAUUCACAUCGCGAGACUGAUCGGAGAGAGAAGGAGAAGAGGAAGACAAGAAGAAGAAGAAGAGGAAUCUGGGUAAUUGGAUUGCCCGACGUAGAGAGAAAGAGAAGUGCGCCGAUCAGGCCUUCCACAAGCGGAAGAAGUUUCUAGGUCUUUUACUUUUCCACUUCUACCAGAAGCCUGUACGAUUAUUUCUAUCUUCUUCGAUGAUGAUUGGUUUAAAUUCUGGGUGAUUGAAGUAAAUCAGACUUUGUAUACUAUUGAUAGAGAAGUAAAUUUUAGAUUUUGUUUCUUUUCAUGGAAUUUGAUGGUUUUUGGGUUUAAUUCUUUUUAA
RNAcentral lists this long non-coding RNA (403 nucleotides) under Rosa chinensis. RNAcentral describes it as "sRNA RchiOBHm_Chr5g0083731". Lineage: Eukaryota; Viridiplantae; Streptophyta; Magnoliopsida; Rosales; Rosaceae. The record is from RNAcentral.